AUGGCCACCUUCUUCCUAUCGCACGGCGGCCCCACGCUCUGCGUCGAUGAGACGAUCCCGGCGUGGAGCUUCUUCAAGUCCUGGCUGCCCGCGGCGGUCGCGGGCGCGCAGCCGCCGCGUGCCAUCCUGGUGGUAUCGGCCCACUGGGAGACGGCCAUGCCGGCGGUCAACGUCGUUCCCGGCAUCAACGACACCAUACACGACUUCUCCGGGUUUCCCGAGUCCAUGUACCAGCUGAAGUACCCUGCUCCUGGCGCCCCCGAUCUGGCCAUGAGGACCAAAGAGCUCCUCGAACAAGCCGGGUUCGGUCCCGUGGAGGAACACCACGGCCGUGGGCUCGACCACGGUGCAUGGGUGCCGCUGAUGCUGAUGUACCCGGAGGCUGACAUCCCGGUGUGCCAGCUCUCGGUUCAUGCCGGCCGCGACGGCACCUACCAUUACAACCUCGGCAAGGCGCUGGCUCCCCUCAGAGCGGACGGCGUCCUCGUCCUCGGCUCCGGGAGCGCGACGCACAACCUGAGCAAAAUGACACUUUACGAGGCGCCGGUGCCGCAAUGGGCCUCCGACUUCGACACCUGGCUUGAGGAUUCGCUCAUGGGUGGAAGGUACGACGACGUGAACCGCUACGAUGAGAGGGCGCCCUACGGCAAGGUGGCGCACCCAUCACCGGAACAUUUUCAUCCGCUGCACGUCGCGCUCGGCGCCGCGGGGGACGAGUCCAAGGCGGAGCUGAUCCACCGUAGCUGGACCAACACCAACCACUCGUAUGCGUCGUAUCGUUUCACCGAGAAGAACUGA
RNAcentral lists this ribosomal RNA (798 nucleotides) under Triticum aestivum (bread wheat). RNAcentral describes it as "partial small subunit ribosomal RNA". The record is from RNAcentral. Lineage: Eukaryota; Viridiplantae; Streptophyta; Magnoliopsida; Poales; Poaceae.